Molecule: unclassified non-coding RNA, 229 nt
Filed under: fungal sp.
Lineage: Eukaryota; Fungi
Description: partial internal transcribed spacer region
Source: RNAcentral
AAGUCGUAACAAGGUUUCUAUAGGUAAACCUAUAGAAGGAUUAUUAUUAAAAGUUAAGUUAGGGGCUAUAAAGCUCUUAUCUACACUCUAUGUCUUUUGCGUACUCUUAUUUCCUUAGUAGCGCAAGCUGCUAAUUGGAUAAACUAAAACCUUUUUUAUAAUUGUAAUUAGCGUCUGAAAAUAAUCUAAUUAUUUACAACUUUUAAUAAUAGAUCUCUUAGUUCUGGUA